GACGAACGCUGGCGGCGUGCUUAACACAUGCAAGUCGAACGGAAAGGCCCUGCUUUCAGGGUACUCGCGUUGCGAACGGGUGAGUAACUCGUAGGUGAUCUGCCCUGCUCUUCGGCAUAAGCCUGUGCAGCUGGCUCUAACACCUGCUAGGUGCCAUUUUUAGUGUGAUGGUUGGAAAGUUUUUUCGGUGUGGGCUGAGAUUGCGGCCUAUCAGCUUGCUGGUGGGGUAAUGGCCUACCAAAGCGGCGGGGGGUAGCCGGACUGAGUGGGUGGCCAGCCACCAUGGGACUGAGAGGCGGCCGAGGUACGGACGGGAGGGAGAAGGGGGGAAGAUUGAACAAUGGGCGCAAGCCUGAUGAAGAGAGGCCGCGUGGGGGAUGACGGCGUUAGGGGUGUAAAACACUUUCGCUAGGGACGAAGCUUUUUGUGACGGUACCUAGAUAAGAAGCACCGGCUAACUACGUG
This 465-nucleotide ribosomal RNA is filed under the name uncultured bacterium. Its description in RNAcentral is "partial 16S ribosomal RNA". It matches the Rfam family "Bacterial small subunit ribosomal RNA", at positions 28 to 507 of the family's 1533-position model. The record is from RNAcentral.